UACGGAGGGGGUUAGCGUUGUUCGGAAUUACUGGGCGUAAAGCGCACGUAGGCGGACUGGAAAGUUGGGGGUGAAAUCCCGGGGCUCAACCUCGGAACUGCCUCCAAAACUAUCAGUCUAGAGUUCGAGAGAGGUGAGUGGAAUUCCAAGUGUAGAGGUGAAAUUCGUAGAUAUUCGGAGGAACACCAGUGGCGAAGGCGGCUCACUGGCUCGAUACUGACGCUGAGGUGCGAAAGUGUGGGUAGCGAAAGGG
Molecule: ribosomal RNA, 253 nt
Filed under: uncultured bacterium
Lineage: Bacteria
Description: partial 16S ribosomal RNA
Rfam family: Bacterial small subunit ribosomal RNA
Source: RNAcentral